Molecule: non-coding RNA, 733 nt
Organism: Macaca mulatta (Rhesus monkey)
Lineage: Eukaryota; Metazoa; Chordata; Mammalia; Primates; Cercopithecidae
Source: RefSeq, a predicted model, not a curated record
GACUGGAAGCUGGUGUGUGUGGGUUGUGUGUUUGUAUGUAUUUACACAUUCAUGUGUUUGUGGUGCAUGUAUGUGUGUCCUUUGAAGAGGCUGGGGAUGAGGGAUAAUAAAUUUGUCUGGUUCCCCUCUCAUCUCUGGGAAUCUGAAUACUACAGGUGGAACUGAAGGCUAAGCUGGGGAGAUUGAAGGGAAGAGACAAACCAGACAAUUUUUUUUUGUUUGCAUUAAAAAUUGAGCAAAAAGCAGGUUACCUUGUUUGCAUGAGGAAUAGAGGUGGUGAUGGGGACCGGUGAGAGAAGAGGAUAGUUUUUAAUAUCUUUUUGUAGGACCAGUUAAAUCACCUGAAACUAUUCUAACUUUUCCCGUGAGACAAAUACCAGUUUAUUGCCAGAUAAUACACACAAUGAUAGCUUCUGCUUUCAUUUCCUGUAACAAAUAAUGCAUCUUUUUUUUCCUCCAAGUUCCAUAUGAUAAAACAAAGAACCUGCCAUGUUGCAAAAUAGUGUGAUAAGGGACAAGUGAAGAACAUCAAAAGGGCCCAUGAGCUGGUCUGGGCCUAGGAACAGAGGCUUAAGGACCAAAUCCUACUGACAGUGGAUUCACUCAAACUUGUAAUGAACAGACCAUUUUUGUAAUAACAAAUACAAUGUACAUCUUGGCAGAAGAUAGAAAGCUUUCAUUUAUGGUUCAGAAAACUUGGUGAACAAGGAAUAAAGUCCCACCCAGUUGUCAA